GAUGAACGCUGGCGGCGUGCCUAAUACAUGCAAGUCGAACGCUUUGUCUUUAAUUGAUAUGACGAGCUUGCUCUGAUUUGAUUUUAUCUGACAAAGAGUGGCGAACGGGUGAGUAACACGUGGGUAACCUACCUCUUAGCAGGGGAUAACAUUUGGAAACAAGUGCUAAUACCGUAUAACACUAACAACCGCAUGGUUGUUAGUUGAAAGAUGGUUCUGCUAUCACUAAGAGAUGGACCCGCGGUGCAUUAGCUAGUUGGUAAGGUAAUGGCUUACCAAGGCGAUGAUGCGUAGCCGAGUUGAGAGACUGAUCGGCCACAAUGGGACUGAGACACGGCCCAUACUCCUACGGGAGGCAGCAGUAGGGAAUCUUCCACAAUGGGCGCAAGCCUGAUGGAGCAACGCCGCGUGUGUGAUGAAGGGUUUCGGCUCGUAAAACACUGUUAUAAGAGAAGAACGGCAUUGAGAGUAACUGUUCAGUGUGUGACGGUAUCUUAUCAGAAAGGAACGGCUAAAUACGUG
This 522-nucleotide ribosomal RNA is filed under the name uncultured bacterium. RNAcentral describes it as "partial 16S ribosomal RNA". It matches the Rfam family "Bacterial small subunit ribosomal RNA", at positions 28 to 507 of the family's 1533-position model. The record is from RNAcentral.